UAGGGAAUAUUGCACAAUGGGCGCAAGCCUGAUGCAGCUAUGCCGCGUGGAGGAUGAAGGCCUUCGGGUCGUAAACUCCUUUUCUGAGGAAAGAAUAGCCGAGGGAGGAAAUGCUCUUGGUUUGACGGUACCUCAGGAAUAAGCAACGGCUAACUCCGUGCCAGCAGCCGCGGUAAUACGGAGGUUGCAAGCGUUGUUCGGAAUUACUGGGCGUAAAGGGAGCGCAGGCGGUCCUGUAAGUCUAAAGUGAAAUCCCGGGGCUUAACCUUGGAAGUGCUUUGGAUACUGCCGGACUUGAGUACGUGAGAGGAGAGCGGAAUUCCAGGUGUAGCGGUGAAAUGCGUAGAUAUCUGGAGGAACACCUGUGGCGAAAGCGGCUCUCUGGCACGAAACUGACGCUGAGGCUCGAAAGCAUGGGGAGCAAACG
This 427-nucleotide ribosomal RNA is filed under the name uncultured prokaryote. Its description in RNAcentral is "bacterial SSU rRNA". It matches the Rfam family "Bacterial small subunit ribosomal RNA", at positions 355 to 774 of the family's 1533-position model. The record is from RNAcentral.